This 253-nucleotide ribosomal RNA is filed under the name uncultured bacterium. RNAcentral's name for it is "partial 16S ribosomal RNA". It matches the Rfam family "Bacterial small subunit ribosomal RNA", at positions 524 to 776 of the family's 1533-position model. The record is from RNAcentral.
UACGAAGGGGGCGAGCGUUGUUCGGAAUUACUGGGCGUAAAGGGCGCGUAGGCGGUCCCUUUUGUCGCGUGUGAAAGCUCCGGGCUCAACCUGGGAGGUGCGCGCGAAACGGGGGGGCUUGAGUUCGGGAGAGGAGAGUGGAAUUCCCAGUGUAGAGGUGAAAUUCGUAGAUAUUGGGAAGAACACCGGUGGCGAAGGCGGCUCUCUGGACUGACACUGACGCUGAGGCGCGAAAGCUAGGGGAGCAAACAGG